This 1064-nucleotide long non-coding RNA is filed under the name Brassica rapa (field mustard). RNAcentral describes it as "long non-coding RNA (BRAP_LNC003819)". Lineage: Eukaryota; Viridiplantae; Streptophyta; Magnoliopsida; Brassicales; Brassicaceae. The record is from RNAcentral.
UUUACAAAUUAUUCCAUCCUUGUAUUUUAAUACGAUACACGGAGCAUGUAGAUUCCUAAGGCUUAGAUGACAUUAAUAGUUAAUACUGAAAUAGAAAAGUGUAGUUUAUGAUUAAUUUAAAAGACCAUUCAUAGUCUACCAUAUGAAACUAUAUAUAUAGUAGUCCAGUUUAUGGGGUUAUUCCUUCUUAAUUAAUAUGAAAUCAAAUGGACAAGAACCUAGUGGAGCUUUGCCUAACAACGUUGGAGAAGCAUAAUUAACAUCUCGUCGUGUGUAAACUGCAACCUUCUUUCUUUUUUCCUUUUCUUUUUUUUUUCUUUUGCUCUAGGAAAGGACAUACUACGUUUUAUGCUAAAGUUAUACUCCCUCCGUUUUUUAUUAUAAGUCGUUUUAGAGAAACUUUUUUGUUCCAAAUUAUAUGUCGUUUUCGGUUUUUUAUGUAAAAUUUAUUAAUAAUUAAUGUUGUAUGACCAAUAGUAAUAUAUCUUCUAUUUUUCUAUUGGUUGAAUUGUGGUUAGGUAAAUAAUUAAUGAUGUUUUUGUUUAGAAAAUAUAAGAAAUUAAUGGUUUUCUUAAUCUAUGUGCAUAGCUGUAAAACGACUUAUAUUAAAAAACGGAGGGAGUAUAAAACAUGCUCAUUGAAUAAACUUGAUAGCAAAACUGCAUAAUUUUAGUCAAUUGGCUGAAUGACUCAUGUUGGAGGUUGAAGGACCAUGAUUAGAAUUCUUCAAAUAUGAUUUCAAUCAUGGUUGACCACUGUUUGAUGUAUAAAAUAACAAUAACACAUGAUGCUCCACAGAUUUUGAGAAGUGCACUAAACAUUGGUUCUUCCACUCCACUCCAUUUGAAUUUGGGGUUUUACCGAACAAUUGUGAGGCGGGGAGGGAGGGGCACCAUAUGACUACUCCAUCACAUACAUUUUCGAAUUUUGAGAAUUUUGUUGUUAAAUGAGAGAACCAGAGUCGGAUACACUAUCGUACCUAGGAAUUCACACAGUACUGUAAGGUGAAAAAGUAACUUUCCCACUCUUGUUAAAGAUCAACUUAGGUUUGGCUAGUUUUCUUG